UUGAAACAUGUGUUCUCCUCUUAGGACACCGUGAUGUCUGACCCUCUCUAGCUGGAUCAGCCCUAAAGGAAAAACACUCUGAAAACUGGUCCUUAUGCAACAUGUGUAGACCUUAGGAAGGAUCCGGAGCGUCACUGUCAGAAGGACUCUGAGGUCCAGAAGACUGACCACUAGCACAAGAACGAGCCAGUUAAGGAGCCGGUGCCAGAGGAAGGGACAAAGUUCAGCCACCUACUUCGGGGAGUUUGGCUGGGAAAAGGGCUGAGAUGGAAGGAUGGCUCCAAGGGUGGGGAGGGUUCAAGGAAGCUUUCUGUAAAGGUGGGGGCUGGGUCUGUUUGGAAGUGACCAAGUGAUAGGGAAAGCUUCAACACUGGAGGGAGCUGGGUUUGGCGAAUGAGGGAGGGGGCUCACUGUUGGGGAGGGGGCUGUCGGGGGAUCCAGUGGUGGCUAAAGAAGCUCCUGGAGGAAGCAGAUUUCCAGUAGCCAAGGAGUCGGGACCUUGGGAACCUUCCUCUGAUUUCUUUCCUAGGGAUGUCCAAGGCUGUGAGGGACGUUCUGGGGGAAACGGUUCCAAUUGGGGAGGUUCCUGUAAACCAAGAGGUGCGAGAGGAAGAACCGGAUUUAACAAAAGCUCCCAAGAAUGGUCGCUAAGGUUCAAAGGGCAGCUCCUGGGUCCCCGGGCCAGGACUGAGAGCUUGGUCAGGGCCUUGGAUCCCCGCCUAGAGUCUGGGGAGGGGGCGGGGGGAGAAGGGCGCAGGGAUUAUCUGUGUUGCACAGAGGAGCGUCUGAGGCCGCGGGCUCCCCCGCCAGUGCCAGAGGGAGGCAGCCCCAGGUGGAGGGGACAGGGAGACGGGGCCCCGCCUCCCCCGCGGAGGGCAGCGACCCAGAGCGCUCUGAAAUCGGGGUCCCAAGGUAAAGGAAAUAAAGGCUUUUGACCGUCAGAAAGGGCAGCGGGACACGGAGCGGCCCGGGAAGAGGGGAGGAAGCCCAAAGUCCCGGAGGCGCAAGCUCCGCCCCCCUCUGGCGGGGGGAGUCGGGCCUCGGCCCGCAAUUGAGAAGCUACCCGGAAACGGAGUCCUGACCAGUCGCGCGCUCUUGGCUGCGUCGGUCCCUACAGCGGAGGAACCGGCGGGGAGCGGCGCGGGAGGGGGCGGGGAGCCUACGGCCGACCCCCGAACGCCCGCAGCCGCUACUGCAGCACCAGCCGGGAUGGCAAAGGUCAGCACCAGCCUGGAUAAAGAAGCCUCAGACCCUGUUCUCCGUCUCUGAAGACCCAGCCCGGCCGGCAGAGCACCCAAGCCCGGAACCAGAGACAUGGCCCCCGGCAGCCGGAGCCCCUCGUCCCAGGUGAGAUGGGAAGGAGGCCGGGAGGCCCAGGGGAGAAGGGAGGACAUUCCCAGGAUGAGAGAAGCCCCUGGAUGCCAGUUAUGGGAUGGAGAGUCCUGGUCAAGGCUCAGCCAGGGCCCAGUGUCCCCAGGUCCGGGAGGGGGAAGGGAAGAAGGUGGGAGAAGCCCGGCCCGGCUUUGGGGCCUGGUUCUGUGGCAUCUGCCAUGAGCCGGGAGCCCUGGAAAUAGGGUCUCUUUUGAUCUUGUUGUGAGAAUGGUCCGGGUCCUUGCUGGGGACGCCCAGAGUAAGGGAGUGCAGGAUCCAGCCAGAGACUAAACUGGGCUUUAUUUGUCCACUCAGGAGGGUGACAGUUUCCAUGGGUGGCUGUUGACAGAGACACAGUCUCUCCUCCUGAGCCACAGCUUUUAUCUUGUACCCAGACUCCCAAAGAAGUUCUGCGUGAGAACUGGUUAGGACACAGAGAAAGGCAAAGGGACCUUAUUCAGAAAAGAACACAAGAUGUGGGUCUGUGCAUUUAGGGUUAGAAACGUCUGUACAGAGGGUUUUCCCAUAGAUCCCUAGACCAGGCCAAGGGAGUGACUCAGCAUUUGCCCUGGAAGUGAGUCCAUGAAGCUUCUAAAAGGGUUUGGCAGAUGGAGUAUAAUGAAGGGGACAUUGAGCGUAUUGAUAUUUAGAACAGCCAGGGUAGAAUCAAGUGGAGUUUAUUAGGUUUUCUUCACGAUUCACAUUUAAAAAGCCCCCAUGCUGGAUUAAAGGCUCAGGAAAGAGACUUAAUGAUGGCCAGACAUCAGCUCUGGGUAUGGUGGUGAAGGUUGGUGCCCUUGAGGAGUCUCCUAGUCAGGAGAGCAGGACUUCUGGGUGGGCUGAGACUGAGGGAAGUAGGAGUUCUCUCUUGAAAAUGGUUCCCCAAACCACGAAUGGUUCUUUGAGGGAGAGUCAGGGAAAGCAAAGGUCAUCCCCCUGACCUCUCCGAGCUCCAGACUCAGACCUACCUGGGGAGUGCAAGCACAGCUGUGCAUUUUUAGGAGACAGUUAUCUCAAGAAAAAGGGGAGAUUUUUCCCCCUCGGGGCUUCCACAGAGCAGAGAAGUCCUAGGCAAAGUUUGCUGAGAAAGGAGGGUCCUGCGGAAGUAAGAAAUCCCUGUGGGCCUCAGGGAACUGAUGCUUUUCUGGGAGCACACAAGAGUUACGCUGUUGGAAUAUGUAUUAAGCAAUGUUUACAAAUUUCUGCAUGCAAUUAGGUCUAUUUUGCACAAUUUUUUGUAUUUGUGGGGUUUUUUUAAUUAAAGCUUUUUAUUUACAAAACAGAUGCAUGGGUAAUUUUUCAGUUUUGACCCUUGCAAAACUUUCUGUUACAAAUUUUUCCCUCCUCUCCCCUUUCUCCCUCCCCACUACACCUAGAUGGCAGGUAGUCCAAUAGAUGUUAAAUAUGUUAAAAUAUACGUUAAAUCCAA
Molecule: long non-coding RNA, 2800 nt
Organism: Antechinus flavipes (yellow-footed antechinus)
Lineage: Eukaryota; Metazoa; Chordata; Mammalia; Dasyuromorphia; Dasyuridae
Exons: 3
Source: RefSeq, a predicted model, not a curated record